RNAcentral lists this ribosomal RNA (467 nucleotides) under uncultured bacterium. RNAcentral's name for it is "partial 16S ribosomal RNA". It matches the Rfam family "Bacterial small subunit ribosomal RNA", at positions 28 to 506 of the family's 1533-position model. The record is from RNAcentral.
GACGAACGCUGGCGGCGUGCUUAACACAUGCAAGUCGAACGGAAAGGCCCUGCUUUUGUGGGGUGCUCGAGUGGCGAACGGGUGAGUAACACGUGAGUAACCUGCCCUUGACUUUGGGAUAACUUCAGGAAACUGGGGCUAAUACCGGAUAGGAGCUCCUGCUGCAUGGUGGGGGUUGGAAAGUUUCGGCGGUUGGGGAUGGACUCGCGGCUUAUCAGCUUGUUGGUGGGGUAGUGGCUUACCAAGGCUUUGACGGGUAGCCGGCCUGAGAGGGUGACCGGCCACAUUGGGACUGGGAUACGGCCCAGACCCCUACGGGAGGCAGCAGGGGGGAAUAUUGCACAAUGGGCGGAAGCCUGAGGCAGCAACCCCGCGGGCGGGAGGACGGCCUUCGGGUUGUAAACCGUUUUCGCCUGUGACGAAGCGUGGGUGACGGUAAUGGGUAAAGAAGCACCGGCUAACUACGU